Molecule: long non-coding RNA, 1791 nt
Organism: Dipodomys spectabilis (banner-tailed kangaroo rat)
Lineage: Eukaryota; Metazoa; Chordata; Mammalia; Rodentia; Heteromyidae
Exons: 3
Source: RefSeq, a predicted model, not a curated record
CAAAGGCUUGAUAUAGUCAAUUACAGUCAAGCUGGACUUCCUGUCUAAUAUUCAAGACCCCCAAAAGAUUAAGCUCUCGAGUAUUUUAUGAAUGCUUAUAAGACAUAAAAAAGAAUUAAUACUAACUUCCCACUCAACCCAUCACUUUACCUAGAAGUGAGCCAAAAACAGGAUUUUAGUAGACCUAUUAGGAGCAAUUAUUCUAAAUUAACACUUUAGUCCCUAUCACCUUAUCACACCUUUACACAACCAGCUCUUCAAAAUUAACUAACCAAAAACUUUGUCACAACAUACAUUCCCUAAAUCUACUAGUUUACGUAGCUUAAAUUAUAAAGCAAGGCACUGAAAAUGCCUAGAUGAAUCAUAAAGAUUCCAUAAGCAUAAAGGUUUGGUCCUAGCCUUAAUAUUAACUGUCAGCAAAAUUACACAUGCAAAUAUCCGUAAACCAGUGAGUUCAGCCCUAUGUUUUCUACAGACCACAAGGAGCAAGUAUAAAGCACGCGUACCCAAACACGCAGCUAAAAACACUAAGUCUAACCACACCCCCACGGGAUACAGCAGUGAUAAAAUUUAAGCAAUGAACGAAAGUUUGACUAAGUUAUGCUGACUCCAUUAGGGUCGGUAAAUUUCGUGCCAGCCACCGCGGUCAUACGAAAGACCCAAGUUAAUAUUCCAACGGCGUAAAGAGUGCUAAAAUCCUAAACAAAUAAACAAAUAGAGUUAAGACUUGACUCCGCUGUAAAAAGCCAAAGUCAAAGCAAAAAUAAACAACGAAGGUGACUCUAAUUUUUGCAGCACUAAAGCUAUAGCCUAAACUGGGAUUAGAUACCCCACUAUAUCUAGCCAUAAACAUAAAUAGUUCAUAACACUACUAUUCGCCAGAGAACUACAAGCCACCGCUUAAAACUCAAAGGACUUGGCGGUGCUUUAUAUCCAUCUAGAGGAGCCUGUUCCAUAAUCGAUGAUCCCCGAUCUACCUUACCACUCCUUGCUAAUUCAGCCUAUAUACCGCCAUCUUCAGCUGACCCUAAAAAGGAAACAAAGUAAGCUAAAAAAGUAAAUACUAAAGAAGUUAGGUCAAGGUGUAGCCCAUGGAGUGGAGCGAAAUGGGCUACAUUUUCUAAUCCUAGAACAUUACGAAACUCUAUGUGAAACCCAUAGAAUAAAGGAGGAUUUAGUAGUAAAUUAAAACUAGAGUGUUUAAUUGAAUCGAGCAAUGAAGCACGCACACACCGCCCGUCACCCUCCUCAAAACCUUAACAAUUAAAAGUCCAUAACGCCUAAUUAUAAAAGACUGAGAGGAGACAAGUCGUAACAAGGUAAGUGUACUGGAAAGUGCACUUGGAAGAAUCAAAAUAUAGCUUAAACAAAGCAUCUGACUUACACUCAGAAGAUUUCAAUCCUAAUGAAUAUUUUGAACUAUAUCUAGCCUAACAAACUACCAAAUUAACUAUAACAUACACAUAAAUCAAACCAUUUACCAAAAAUUAGUAUAGGUGAUAGAAAAUUUAACUUUAGCGCUAUAGAUAAAGUACCGUAAGGGAAUGAUGAAAGAAAAACCUAAGUAAACAAAAGCAAAGAUUAAACCUUCUACCUUUUGCAUAAUGAACUAACUAGAAAAACUCUGACAAAGAGAACUUUAGCCAGAAACCCCGAAAUCAAGCGAGCUACCCUAGAACAGCCUUUUACAGGGCCAACUCAUCUAUGUAGCAAAAUAGUGAGAAGAUUUUAAGGUAGAGGUGAAAAGCCUACCGAGCCUGAUGAUAGCUGGUUCCUCAGAUUAAGUAUUUG